This is a long non-coding RNA of Trematomus bernacchii (emerald rockcod), 398 nucleotides long. RefSeq lists it as uncharacterized. The record is from RefSeq and is a predicted model, not a curated record. Lineage: Eukaryota; Metazoa; Chordata; Actinopteri; Perciformes; Nototheniidae. The transcript has 3 exons.
ACCAUUUUCAUCUAAAGACUAUGACUAAGACUAAAUCAAAAACGGCUGCCAAAAUUAACACUGCUCUGACGUGUUUUUACUCUCUGGAUUUCUGAGGGUGUGAAGGCGUCCUCAGAUCAGAUGCAGGCAGACUCAGGACUGAAGAAGAAGAGAUGAGCAGAGUUUCCUCCUCACCUGAAGAGAGUCUGUGGGGGCUCUGCUAUGGAUCAGUGUGAGGACAGAGAGGAGGAAGCCCCCCCCUCUAAAAGCUCUGGGGAACAUGACAGCCAGACCAAAGCUCAGAGGGGAAUUCAUCCACAGAAAACAUACUGGACGCUGUACUAGGUGAGAAACCAGAGGAGACUGUGAAGUCCACCACAGACGGACCACUUUGGACAAAAUGUCCUCUCCAUUAAAGG